CCUACGGGAGGCAGCAGUGAGGAAUAUUGGUCAAUGGACGAGAGUCUGAACCAGCCAAGUAGCGUGAAGGAUGACUGUCCUAUGGGUUGUAAACUUCUUUUAUAUGGGAAUAAAAUGUUCCACGUGUGGGCUUUUGUAUGUACCAUAUGAAUAAGGAUCGGCUAACUCCGUGCCAGCAGCCGCGGUAAUACGGAGGAUCCGAGCGUUAUCCGGAUUUAUUGGGUUUAAAGGGAGCGUAGGUGGAUUGUUAAGUCAGUUGUGAAAGUUUGCGGCUCAACCGUAAAAUUGCAGUUGAAACUGGCAGUCUUGAGUACAGUAGAGGUGGGCGGAAUUCGUGGUGUAGCGGUGAAAUGCUUAGAUAUCACGAAGAACUCCGAUUGCGAAGGCAGCUCACUGGACUGCAACUGACACUGAGGCUCGAAAGUGUGGGUAUCAAACAGGAUUAGAUACCCUUGUAGUC
RNAcentral lists this ribosomal RNA (460 nucleotides) under uncultured bacterium. RNAcentral describes it as "partial 16S ribosomal RNA". It matches the Rfam family "Bacterial small subunit ribosomal RNA", at positions 338 to 795 of the family's 1533-position model. The record is from RNAcentral.